RNAcentral lists this ribosomal RNA (253 nucleotides) under uncultured bacterium. RNAcentral's name for it is "partial 16S ribosomal RNA". It matches the Rfam family "Bacterial small subunit ribosomal RNA", at positions 524 to 776 of the family's 1533-position model. The record is from RNAcentral.
UACGUAGGCAGCAAGCGUUGUUCGGAGUUACUGGGCGUAAAGGGUGCGUAGGCGGUCCUAUAAGUAUGGUGUGAAAUCUCCCGGCUUAACUGGGAGGGUGCGCUAUAGACUGUGGGACUAGAGGGUGGGAGAGGAAAGUGGAAUUCCUGGUGUAGCGGUGAAAUGCGUAGAUAUCAGGAGGAACACCGGUGGUGUAAACGGCUUUCUGGACCACUUCUGACGCUGAGGCACGAAAGCGUGGGUAGCAAACAGG